GGUCAAGCGAAUAAGGGCAUAC
This 22-nucleotide ribosomal RNA is filed under the name uncultured bacterium. Its description in RNAcentral is "partial 23S ribosomal RNA". The record is from RNAcentral.